GAUGAACGCUGGCGGCGUGCCUAAUACAUGCAAGUCGAGCGAACAGACGAGGAGCUUGCUCCUUUGACGUUAGCGGCGGACGGGUGAGUAACACGUAGGUAACCUACCUAUAAGACUGGGAUAACUUCGGGAAACCGGAGCUAAUACCGGAUAAUAUUUCGAACCGCAUGGUUCGAUAGUGAAAGAUGGCUUUGCUAUCACUUAUAGAUGGACCUGCGCCGUAUUAGCUAGUUGGUAAGGUAACGGCUUACCAAGGCAACGAUACGUAGCCGACCUGAGAGGGUGAUCGGCCGCACUGGAGCUGAGACACGGUCCAGACUCCUACGGGAGGCAGCAGUAGGGAAUCUUCCGCAGUGGGCGAAAGCCUGACGGAGCAACGCCGCGUGAGUGAUGAAGGUCUUCGGAUCGUAAAACUCUGUUAUUAGGGAAGAACAAACGUGUAAGUAACUGUGCACGUCUUGACGGUACCUAAUCAGAAAGCCACGGCUAACUACGUG
This 497-nucleotide ribosomal RNA is filed under the name uncultured bacterium. Its description in RNAcentral is "partial 16S ribosomal RNA". It matches the Rfam family "Bacterial small subunit ribosomal RNA", at positions 28 to 507 of the family's 1533-position model. The record is from RNAcentral.